This 372-nucleotide ribosomal RNA is filed under the name uncultured organism. RNAcentral describes it as "partial 16S ribosomal RNA". It matches the Rfam family "Bacterial small subunit ribosomal RNA", at positions 527 to 896 of the family's 1533-position model. The record is from RNAcentral.
GUAGGUGGCAAGCGUUGUCCGGAAUUAUUGGGCGUAAAGCGCGCGCAGCGGUUCUUUAAGUCUGAUGUGAAAGCCCACGGGCUCAACCGUGGAGGGUCAUUGGAAACUGGAGAACUUGAGUACAGAAGAGGAAAGCGGAAUUCCACGUGUAGCGGUGAAAUGCGUAGAGAUGUGGAGGAACACCAGUGGCGAAGGCGGCUUUCUGGUCUGUAACUGACGCUGAGGCGCGAAAGCGUGGGGAGCAAACAGGAUUAGAUACCCUGGUAGUCCACGCCGUAAACGAUGAGUGCUAAGUGUUAGGGGGUUUCCGCCCCUUAGUGCUGCAGCUAACGCAUUAAGCACUCCGCCUGGGGAGUACGGCCGCAAAGGCUG